Molecule: transfer RNA, 70 nt
Filed under: Parambassis ranga (Indian glassy fish)
Lineage: Eukaryota; Metazoa; Chordata; Actinopteri; Ambassidae
Also listed under: 1 other name
Description: tRNA-Trp
Rfam family: tRNA
About the family: Transfer RNA (tRNA) molecules are approximately 80 nucleotides in length.
Source: RNAcentral
AGGGACUUAGGAUAACUUAAACCAAGGGCCUUCAAAGCCCUAAACGAGGGUUAAAACCCCUCAGACCCUG